Molecule: long non-coding RNA, 542 nt
Filed under: Bos taurus (domestic cattle)
Lineage: Eukaryota; Metazoa; Chordata; Mammalia; Artiodactyla; Bovidae
Description: long non-coding RNA NONBTAT024654
Source: RNAcentral
CCUCAAGUAAAAAUUUAGUAAUGUAUAUGAUUACAUUUUCCCUAAAUGGUGAUACCUUGUCCAAAGAUGAAGAGCACCCCUAUUUUAACAGGUAGAAGGAACCUUGUGUCAAUCUUGCAGAAGCUUUAAUGGAGAAAAAGAUGGACUUUAUUUUUAAAAGAUAAAUGAGUAGGCAUUCAUAUUAACAGAAUGGUAGUGUGUUUUGGUUGAGCAGUAGUACCGCUUUGAAUUUUAGAGGACCCAAGUGCUUAUCUGUCCACUACCUUGUCGUUCUGUUCUCAUCAAUGAAAAAUGAUUCAACAACUCCACCGUAACCCCUCCACAGGUAUACAAGUACUGUGUCUUGUAAGUUACAUUUUUAGCACACAGGAGAAAUUAUAUGUAAUAAAAUUACUGUUAUCUUUUGGACUUAACAAAUCGGAAUUUGUAUUUAAACACUGAUUAUAUGUCUGAUAAUUCUUAAAAUAAUGGCACUUUUCCUAAUUUACUUGGGGAUCUUGGGUACAUUUGUACUUUGUGUUAUUCUUCAUGCUUGACUUGGA